AUUCCAGCUCCAAUAGCGUAUAUUAAAGUUGUUGCAGUUAAAAAGCUCGUAGUUGGAUUUCAGAGUGAGCUCGUCCGGUCGGCCUAAAUGGUCUGAACUGGUUGACUCUCUCUUGCUUGUGGAUCCCGCCCGGAGUUAACUCUUCGGAUGUGGACUUCACAUCGUUUACCUUGAAAAAAUUAGAGUGUUCAAAGCAGGCGUAUGCUUGAAUAUAUUAGCAUGGAAUAAUGGAAUAGGACCCUGGUUCUAUUUUGUUGGUUUUGAGGACCAGAGUAAUGAUUAAUAGGGAUAGUUGGGGGCAUUCAUAUUUCAUUGUCAGAGGUGAAAUUCUUGGAUUUAUGAAAGAUGAACUUCUGCGAAAGCAUUUGCCAAGGAUGUUUUCAUUA
RNAcentral lists this ribosomal RNA (386 nucleotides) under Telonemia sp. Its description in RNAcentral is "partial small subunit ribosomal RNA". It matches the Rfam family "Eukaryotic small subunit ribosomal RNA", at positions 582 to 975 of the family's 1831-position model. The record is from RNAcentral. Lineage: Eukaryota; Telonemia.